RNAcentral lists this ribosomal RNA (343 nucleotides) under Homalopsis buccata. Its description in RNAcentral is "partial 12S ribosomal RNA". Lineage: Eukaryota; Metazoa; Chordata; Lepidosauria; Squamata; Homalopsidae. The record is from RNAcentral.
AAAUAACUACGAGUAAAAACUUGAAAUUUAAAAGACUUGACGGUACUUCACAACAACCUAGAGGAGCCUGUCCAAUAACCGAUAAUCCACGAUUCACCCCACCCGUUUUUGCCAAACAGUCUAUAUACCGCCGUCGCCAGCUUACCUUGUGAAAGAAACAAAGCAAGCCAGAUAGUACCACACUAACACGACAGGUCGAGGUGUAACAAAUAAACGGGUCAAAGAUGGGCUACAUUUUCUUAAUCAGAAAAAACGAAUAAAGUAUGAAACAACAACCUGAAGGAGGAUUUAGCAGUAAGAUAAAGACAGAAUACUUACCUGAAACUAACGCAAUGAAGUGCGU